RNAcentral lists this ribosomal RNA (253 nucleotides) under uncultured bacterium. Its description in RNAcentral is "partial 16S ribosomal RNA". It matches the Rfam family "Bacterial small subunit ribosomal RNA", at positions 524 to 776 of the family's 1533-position model. The record is from RNAcentral.
UACGUAGGGGGCAAGCGUUGUCCGGAUUUAUUGGGCGUAAAGGGCGCGUAGGCGGCCUGUUAAGUCGAACGUGAAAUCCCCGGGCUCAACCCGGGAACUGCGUCCGAUACUGGCAGGCUUGAAUCCGGGAGAGGGAUGCGGAAUUCCAGGUGUAGCGGUGAAAUGCGUAGAUAUCGGGAGGAACACCUGUGGCGAAGGCGGCCCCCUGGUUGGAUACUGACGCUGAGACGCGAAAGCGUGGGGAGCAAACAGG